GACGAACGCUGGCGGCGUGCCUAAUACAUGCAAGUAGAACGCACAGGAUGCACCGUAGUUUACUACACCGUAUUCUGUGAGUUGCGAACGGGUGAGUAACGCGUAGGUAACCUGCCUGGUAGCGGGGGAUAACUAUUGGAAACGAUAGCUAAUACCGCAUAAGAACAUUUACUGCAUGGUAGAUGUUUAAAAGGUGCAAAUCCAUCACUACCAGAUGGACCUGCGUUGUAUUAGCUAGUAGGUGAGGUAACGGCUCACCUAGGCGACGAUACAUAGCCGACCUGAGAGGGUGAUCGGCCACACUGGGACUGAGACACGGCCCAGACUCCUACGGGAGGCAGCAGUAGGGAAUCUUCGGCAAUGGGGGGAACCCUGACCGAGCAACGCCGCGUGAGUGAAGAAGGUUUUCGGAUCGUAAAGCUCUGUUGUUAAGGAAGAACGAGUGUGAGAAUGGAAAGUUCAUACUGUGACGGUACUUAACCAGAAAGAGACGGCUAACUACGUG
RNAcentral lists this ribosomal RNA (505 nucleotides) under uncultured bacterium. RNAcentral describes it as "partial 16S ribosomal RNA". It matches the Rfam family "Bacterial small subunit ribosomal RNA", at positions 28 to 507 of the family's 1533-position model. The record is from RNAcentral.